This 1894-nucleotide long non-coding RNA is filed under the name Homo sapiens (human). RNAcentral's name for it is "HSALNT0347754". The record is from RNAcentral. Lineage: Eukaryota; Metazoa; Chordata; Mammalia; Primates; Hominidae.
GCGAGGGCGCGGUAAAUGGCGCUCUGAGUACUUUCUGUCUCAGUCCGGCUGGCCGCUCACGCGUCGGGCCCCCAUUUACUCUCGUUACUGAGGAGACACGGCUCCAGUUUUGACCCGACUACGGUUGUUUUCUUCGUGUGUACCGCGAAAUGCUGAUGACGUCCGGUUCCGCGCAGUUUUUUUCCUAUUUCGUUUCCAACCACAGUUGUGCGGUUCACAGAUUUUUCCCUUGGGAUGUGUUUUCCAUACCUCCAAGCCCACUCUCAGAGCCUUGGGGCCCCAUAAAACUUCAUGCGCAGCUGCUUUCUGGUAUUUGCAGACCUGGAAGGCUUCUCGUAUUCUUAAUUUGGGGAAGAGAGACAUAGGUUUCCUUGUACAACGGGAUGAGGAUUUAAGAGCAGAACGACACUGAUAUUUUAAAGGCGAGGGUAUUUAGAUUUGUGGAGCUGAAACUUGCCUGAAAAGGGAGACAAAAUUUGGAAGUUUGUUGUGUGCAGUUUCUGCCCCUUACCCCCGCCCUUCACUUUUAAACUGCGCAUAUAUCAACAAUAGUUACGGUUGUUGCAGCAGUCUAAAUUUGAUUAUCAGAAUUGACCCUAGGCAUGAAUUUUUUUUUAAAUAUACCAAUGUCGUGUUAUAUACACUUAUACCAUUAUGUCCAGACUUCUCUUAAGCAUAGUUCGUGGUGGGCAGUUUUGUGGUCAUUUAGGGAUGAACUUGGGUAGGGAAAGCUGAGCAUACAUAAUUUAUUUUAGGAAUGCACCAGUUCUGCCAACAUUUAUCAGAAGUCACGUUUUUAAAAAGCUAUUCUGGAACUGAAGAUGUCAUUGGUUUAUAAGAGGAAAAUGGAAGCCAAAAGCUUACACCUCAUGCUCUAUCUUUAAAAAUUAAGGUGGCAGACACAAUGAGUAGAAGGCUUUUAUGUUACCAGAAUGAAGGCUUAAAAUCUGUCAUUUUAUUGACUCGGCUUUCUUUUUAGAAAUUUCUUUAAGAUAUAAAAGCAAUGUGGAAUAUCACUCUUUCACACUCUUAAAAUAGAUUACGUUCUCUGGAACUUCUCUAAUCUGAAAUGUGUUCAAAAAGGAAAAAGAUCUUUAAAAUACGCCAGUUAGUCUAUGGUAUAAUAUUAAACACUAUUCAUCACUAGAGAAGUUAUGGUGGUAUACCCUCCCCUUUCUCAGAUGUCCACCUUAAUGCCAGAAAUGAGCGGAGUUUCCCUUUGUUGUGCAAAAUGACUGUGUCCUUGAGGGAUGUUUGGAUGCUCUUGGUAAACCGGAAUCAGCCAGAAGCAUAUCCGGUGUUAGCCUUGUUGUGUCAUCAACAUUACAACAGUGAGGAAACCCACAUAUUCCAAUGAAAGAGGAAAACUUAAAGAAGAAGUUUCCAGUGUAUUUUCUUUGAGAUAUAUUUAUUCCUAUGACCUCAGAAGAUCAGCUUUUACCGUCCAAGGUUCACUUUGCCUAAAAGCUGAUUGUUCCUGUGGAAACAGUAGCAUCGGAUGACCCUACAAACAAAGCAUUAUGACAUCAUCAGAGCCAACAACCUGGCAUGACAGAUACUAAUAAGGAAAAAAGAGGUUACAAGAAUUCUGACACUCAUCACAGUGGAUCCAAUAUCUGGUCCCUUGGGUUUCAUAUAUGUUAGAAGUAUCUUCUCAGGAGGGAAAAGUCAAUGCCAGUCAUAUCCUUUCUAGCUAUUAGAAAUGUCCAUCAGCUUACGAGGAGAUUCUCCCUCAUCUCACAAACUACCUGCAUCUCCACUUCCCUGGAAGAAAAAAAAAAUCUGGACAUACCCAAGCUGUGUAUGUGCCUGAGAUCUUCCCUUCCAAGGGUGCCACCACAGGUAACCAUCAGAGAACACACUGCUAUUUUCAAAUAAACAGAACUGAACAAAA